CCUACGGGCGGCAGCAGUGAGGAAUAUUGGUCAAUGGCCGUAAGGCUGAACCAGCCAUGUCGCGUGCAGGAAGAAGGAUCUAUGGUUUGUAAACUUCUUUUAUACGGGAGUAAAGGUAUCUACGAGUGGAUAUUUGAAUGUACCGUAUGAAUAAGCAUCGGCUAACUCCGUGCCAGCAGCCGCGGUAAUACGGAGGAUGCGAGCGUUAUCCGGAUUCAUUGGGUUUAAAGGGUGCGUAGGUUGUUUUUUAAGUCAGCGGUGAAAGUUUGUGGCUCAACCAUAAAAUUGCCGUUGAUACUGGAAGACUUGAGUGUGUUUGAGGUAGGCGGAAUGCGUGGUGUAGCGGUGAAAUGCAUAGAUAUCACGCAGAACUCCGAUUGCGAAGGCAGCUUACUAGGCCAUAACUGACACUGAAGCACGAAAGCGUGGGGAUCAAACAGGAUUAGAUACCCUGGUAGUC
RNAcentral lists this ribosomal RNA (460 nucleotides) under uncultured bacterium. RNAcentral describes it as "partial 16S ribosomal RNA". It matches the Rfam family "Bacterial small subunit ribosomal RNA", at positions 338 to 795 of the family's 1533-position model. The record is from RNAcentral.